UAAUUCUUUUUGUAUUGAACACGCAUAUGAUACAUUUGAUAGAUAAAGCAGCAAGAUCAUUGUAAAGAGCGAACUAUAAAUGUUUUUCAUCCUAUAUAAUAAAGCAAUCUCAACUUGAUAUUUUUUCCACAAAAAAGAUGAUUCAGCACCGAGGAACGGAUCGCCUCCGCCUCCGCCUCCGAUCGGCCGGCUUAGGACUCCGCUGGCUCCUCGCUCUCCCGACCGCCUCCUCCAGCCGCGGCCUCGACGCUGGCGCCCCCGAGUUUGUCCCCGGGGCCGCCGCCGGCGCAGCACCCGCGGAUGGUGAAGAUCCACCACGGGCCCCGCGCCGCUCCCGGUGAUCCACGUCUUCCACCUGCGGUUCAUCUCACCGGUGCUGAACCGUGGACCCUUCGAGUACGUCGGGGGCGGUGGCGGCGGCGCCGGUGCCGGUGCCGGUGCCGGUGCAGGGUCUGGGGAGCAUCACGCGGUUCAGGAGGCGGCUGAUGUCGAUCCUGCUUCGCCGGUGUUGGAGGGGCUCCCUGAAGAGGUUGUCCAGCAAAGCAGACUUGAGACACCCUAAAUGGAUGGUUUUUGACACUACUGUUGAAGGCGUCAUGCUUGUAUAUGAGGGCGGAAGGUCGUUCAGGUUUCUAAUUGCUCUUUUCACUCUACUUGACUAGGUUUUUCAGUUCAUUACUUCUGUUGGUGACCUAUUUGUCAUCCUUCCUUACCAAGUAAUUCUAACAACUAAUUUAUUGUAUCCUUGCUCUGCUGCACGAUUAAUUAGCAAAAAGUUAGUUGAACAAGUGAAUGUCAGAAUUUUUUGGACUAAGAGACAUUAUUAAAUUGAAUUUUUGAUUUAGAAAAUCUAUUUAUAGUUAUUGAACCUGUGCAGUUUAUUGGUUUGCUGCUUCUGUUACCUGUGUUGUCAAAACUAUGUAACAUAUUCUUUUUUUGGCAGUUUAAGUUUCCAAAGAGUGGACAUCUAGCCAUUUAUAUUCCAAAAAAAGGAAAAACUUUGUGAUCUUUUAUAUUGUUUUUUGUAUAACUUUCUAGAGUCAAUAUUUACAAGAAUGGUGCAUCUUGAAGUAACAGGUGUGAAUAUUAUUUCAGUGAUGCAAAUUUGGCAACAACUAAGCAUUUAAUGAGGUUCGUUAGUAUAGAUCCCGAAGGUUUUGGUAAUAUAUUCUCCAUUCUUACUUAGUUUUUGAACAUUCCAAGUUAAUGGAUAUGCUAUUUUUAUUUUUGACAUUUUUGUAUGCUCUUUUUUGUUUAUAACUAUUGCUUAUAUCUACUACCCAGAUUUUGUUUCACUCUCUGACUUCUGCUUAGCUCAAGCUCUCUGGUUAGUAGAUGCUGAACCACUAGAUGUGUGGGAUGGCUCCCACAUGCUUGGCAGUUUCCAAGUAUGUAAGGCAAACUCUUGUUUGUUUAUAUCUAUUGUACUUAGAUUCUGUUUGACUAUCUGAUUUUUGCUUAGCUCAGUUGCCUUGGCUAGUGGAUGCUGGACCACUGGAUGUGUGGAAUGGCUCCCACAUGCUUGGCAGUUUCUAAGGCAAAGGAAGAGAUAAAUGGGAAGAGUCAGGGGUGCAUGUCGAUGUCUUGGUCGCAAGACAUUUACCAUGCCAGUCUAUCUAAUAAGUUUACUCUUUGGUAGCCUGAAUUUAUUGGGAUUGCAGGAGAAAAAGCCUUCAUGGACCCUCUGAUUUAUUCGCCCUUCUGCCUUUCCUCUAAUUCUAUCCCGCCUUGGUGUGAGAUAACACAUAGAUAUGGUGGCAGGGUGUCCUAGCUGGCCUCAAACAUGCAUAUUAUUAUGCCGCAGUGAAUAAUCAUGUCUUGCAUGAGAAACAUGUUCACUAAUGUUGGAUGUUAACUAAGAGUGUUUAAUGAAUUGGAAGUCUAUCUCGAUAAUCACAGAUUUGCAG
Phoenix dactylifera (date palm) is the source of this 1907-nucleotide non-coding RNA. The record is from RefSeq and is a predicted model, not a curated record. Lineage: Eukaryota; Viridiplantae; Streptophyta; Magnoliopsida; Arecales; Arecaceae.